Molecule: ribosomal RNA, 498 nt
Filed under: uncultured bacterium
Lineage: Bacteria
Description: partial 16S ribosomal RNA
Rfam family: Bacterial small subunit ribosomal RNA
Source: RNAcentral
AUUGAACGCUGGCGGCAUGCCUUACACAUGCAAGUCGAACGGUAACGCGGGGCAACCUGGCGACGAGUGGCGAACGGGUGAGUAAUGCAUCGGAACGUGCCCAGUAGAGGGGGAUAGCCCGGCGAAAGCCGGAUUAAUACCGCAUACGACCUACGGGUGAAAGGGGGGGAUCGCAAGACCUCUCGCUAUUUGGGCGGCCGAUGUCAGACUAGCUAGUUGGUGGGGUAAAAGCCUACCAAGGCGACGAUCUGUAGCUGGUCUGAGAGGACGACCAGCCACACUGGGACUGAGACACGGCCCAGACUGCUACGGGAGGCAGCAGUGGGGAAUUUUGGACAAUGGGCGAAAGCCUGAUCCAGCCAUGCCGCGUGCGGGAAGAAGGCCUUCGGGUUGUAAACCGCUUUUGUCAGGGAAGAAAUCUUCUGAGUUAAUACCUCGGGAGGAUGACGGUACCUGAAGAAUAAGCACCGGCUAACUACGUGUCAGCCGCCGCAGUAA